RNAcentral lists this ribosomal RNA (258 nucleotides) under uncultured bacterium. RNAcentral describes it as "partial 16S ribosomal RNA". It matches the Rfam family "Bacterial small subunit ribosomal RNA", at positions 99 to 353 of the family's 1533-position model. The record is from RNAcentral.
CGAACGGGUGAGUAACGCGUGAGGAACCUGCCUCAAAGAGGGGGACAACAGUUGGAAACGACUGCUAAUACCGCAUAAGCCCACGGUGCCGCAUGGCACAGAGGGAAAAGGAGCAAUCCGCUUUGAGAUGGCCUCGCGUCCGAUUAGCUAGUUGGUGAGGUAACGGCCCACCAAGGCAACGAUCGGUAGCCGGACUGAGAGGUUGAACGGCCACAUUGGGACUGAGACACGGCCCAGACUCCUACGGGAGGCAGCAUG